RNAcentral lists this ribosomal RNA (253 nucleotides) under uncultured bacterium. RNAcentral describes it as "partial 16S ribosomal RNA". It matches the Rfam family "Bacterial small subunit ribosomal RNA", at positions 524 to 776 of the family's 1533-position model. The record is from RNAcentral.
UACGUAGUGGGCUAGCGUUGUCCGGAUUUAUUGGGCGUAAAGAGCGUGUAGGCGGCCAGAUAGGUCUGCUGUGAAAACUCGAGGCUCAACCUCGAGCUGUCGGCGGAAACCAUCCGGCUAGAGUCCGGAAGAGGAGAGUGGAAUUCCCGGUGUAGCGGUGAAAUGCGCAGAUAUCGGGAAGAACACCUGUGGCGAAGGCGGCUCUCUGGGACGGUACUGACGCUGAGACGCGAAAGCGUGGGGAGCAAACAGG